GGACACGUAGCUCAGUUGGUUAGAGCGCCGCCCUGUCACGGCGGAGGUCGCGAGUUCGAGUCUCGUCGUGUCCGCCA
This 77-nucleotide transfer RNA is filed under the name Candidatus Saccharimonadota bacterium. Its description in RNAcentral is "tRNA-Asp". It matches the Rfam family "tRNA". From Rfam's summary of the family: Transfer RNA (tRNA) molecules are approximately 80 nucleotides in length. Their secondary structure includes four short double-helical elements and three loops (D, anti-codon, and T loops). RNAcentral also lists the same sequence under 1 other name. Lineage: Bacteria; Candidatus Saccharimonadota. The record is from RNAcentral.